This 887-nucleotide long non-coding RNA is filed under the name Coturnix japonica (Japanese quail). RNAcentral describes it as "lncRNA (ENSCJPG00005009228.1)". The record is from RNAcentral. Lineage: Eukaryota; Metazoa; Chordata; Aves; Galliformes; Phasianidae.
AUUUUUGAUGAGCUUUGUUAUGUAGGUGAGUUGCCUCCAUGGAAACUUCCAUAGAACAAUUCCUUGUCAACAUGUACAGGCCUUCGGAUGGACUGCACCACACAGUAAAACAUGACUGCAUCUGUCCCGAAAGGGCCUGAAGGCAACAUUCAAAACAGCCCCUUCAAACUGAACUGAUUACAGAGGAAGUUAUUAGAUGAGAACAAAGUAAAAACGGUAGAAAAGGUAGCUACAAAAGAGCACAUGUGAGGGUUCAAUAUGCACAGUGGAGAAGAGAGAGCUUCUGCAGUAGCAGGCCAAGCAGGUCUGCUGGCAUUUUCCUCUACAGAUGGCUUGCCUAUGGAGUCAAUAGAGCAGCAGGAGCCUGAAGAGUGUGAGUGUAAGAUAAGAGGGCAUACUUCAGUGAGGAGCAGAGCUCUGGGAAAAGGGAAAGAAGUAUGGACAAGGAGUCUCUGCUGUGAGGAACACUGCUGCAGUCUGCCGAGGAUCUGUCAAUUGCUCCAGCCUGCAAUACCACACACUGCUGACUGACAGAACUGCUCCAGAGCUGCAAACCAGGAGCAGGGUGCUCAUUAAGAGGUGGUCAUCACACACUUGUCAUCAGUCUCUGCAGGGAUUUUUUCUCAAAUACACUGAUAAUAGGUUGACUGGACCAUACUGUUCAGUGUAGUUCUGGCUUGCAUUUGUGAAUUAUUCUGUCCAGUAUCUCUGUAUUGGAGAGAAACACUUGUGAAGCAUUCCUCCAUUUUUCCUUUGUUUACUGAGGGAAGAAGAAUGCUUUAUUAUUGUAUUUUCCAUCUGGAUUUUUCCCAAUUUGUGUACCAGUCCUUAAGUGAACAUCUCCCUCUUAUAAUAAAUUCUGAAUGAUAUCUGUGAAAUACUGAACU